This 447-nucleotide ribosomal RNA is filed under the name uncultured bacterium. RNAcentral describes it as "bacterial SSU rRNA". It matches the Rfam family "Bacterial small subunit ribosomal RNA", at positions 330 to 792 of the family's 1533-position model. The record is from RNAcentral.
UCCAGACUCCUACGGGAGGCAGCAGUGGGGAAUAUUGGACAAUGGGGGGAACCCUGAUCCAGCGACGCCGCGUGAGUGAAGAAGUAUUUCGGUAUGUAAAGCUCUAUCAGCAGGGAAGAAAGGAAUGACGGUACCUGACUAAGAAGCCCCGGCUAACUACGUGCCAGCAGCCGCGGUAAUACGUAGGGGGCAAGCGUUAUCCGGAUUUAUUGGGUUUAAAGGGUGCGCAGGCGGCACGGCAAGCCGGCGGUCAAAUCGCGGGGCCCAACCCCGCCCAGCCGUCGGAACUGCCGGGCUAGAGUGGGCGAGAAGUGCGCGGAAUGCGUGGUGUAGCGGUGAAAUGCAUAGAUAUCACGCAGAACUCCGAUUGCGAAGGCAGCGCACCGGCGCCCUACUGACGCUCAGGCACGAAAGCGUGGGUAUCGAACAGGAUUAAAUACCCGCGUA